GACGAACGCUGGCGGCGUGCUUAACACAUGCAAGUCGAACGGAAAGGCCCCUUUGGGGGUACUCGAGUGGCGCACGGGUGAGUAACACGUGAGUAACCUGCCCUUGACUUCGGGAUAACUUCAGGAAACUGGGGCUAAUACCGGAUAGGAAUCCUUGCUUCAUGGUGGGGGUUGGAAAGCUUCGGCGGUUUUGGAUGGGCUCGCGGCUUAUCUGCUUGUUGGUGGGGGAGUGGCGUACCAAGGCUUUGACGGGUAGCCGGCCUGGGAGGGCGACCGGCCACCAUGGGACCGAGAGAAGGCCCCAGAGCCGAACGGAGGGAAGUGGGGGGAAGAAUGCCCAAGCGGCGGAAGCCCAGUGAAGCAGGGCCCCGGUCCGGAAUACCGCCUUCCGGGUGGAAACCGCAUUCAGCAGGGGCGAAGCUUGUGGUGACGGUACCUGCAGAAGAAGCACCGGCUAACUACGUG
RNAcentral lists this ribosomal RNA (465 nucleotides) under uncultured bacterium. Its description in RNAcentral is "partial 16S ribosomal RNA". It matches the Rfam family "Bacterial small subunit ribosomal RNA", at positions 28 to 507 of the family's 1533-position model. The record is from RNAcentral.